UGCAAGUCGAACGGAAAGGCCCACCACCUUGGUGGUGGGUACUCGAGUGGCGAACGGGUGAGUAACACGUGGGUGAUCUGCCCCGCACUGUGGGAUAAGCCUGGGAAACUGGGUCUAAUACCACAUACGACCAUGGCGUAGGGGUCAUGGUGGAAAGCCUUGUGCGGUGUGGGAUGAGCCCGCGGCCUAUCAGCUUGUUGGUGGGGUAAUGGCCUACCAAGGCGGCGACGGGUAGCCGGCCUGAGAGGGUGGACGGCCACAUUGGGACUGAAACACGGCCCAGACUCCUACGGGAGGCAGCAGUGGGGAAUAUUGCACAAUGGGCGCAAGCCUGAUGCAGCGACGCCCCGUGGGGGAUGGAAGGCCUUCCGGUUGUAAACUCCUUUCGCCCGGGACGAAACCCACCUGGUGGGUGACGGUACCGUGGAGAAGAAGCACCGGCUAACUACGUGCCAGCAGCCGCGGUAAUACGUAGGGUGCAAGCGUUGUCCGGAUUUACUGGGCGUAAAGAGCUCGUAAGUGGUGUGUCGCGUCGUCUGUGAAAUUCCGGGGCUUAACUCCGGGCGUGCAGGCGAUACGGGCACGACUAGAGUGCUGUAAGGGUAACUGGAAUUCCUGGUGUAGCGGUGAAAUGCGCAGAUAUCAGGAGGAACACCGAUGGCGAAGGCAGGUUACUGGGCAGUUACUGACGCUGAGGAGCGAAAGCAUGGGGAGCGAACAGGAUUAGAUACCCUGGUAGUCCAUGCUGUAAACGGUGGGCGCUAGGUGUGGGCUGUGUGUUUGCAGUCUGUGCCGUAGCUAACGCAUUAAGCGCCCCGCCUGGGGAGUACGGCCGCAAGGCUAAAACUCAAAGGAAUUGACCGGGGCCCGCACAAGCGGCGGGAGCAUGUGGAUUAAUUCGAUGCAACGCG
Molecule: ribosomal RNA, 911 nt
Filed under: Corynebacterium durum
Lineage: Bacteria; Bacillati; Actinomycetota; Actinomycetes; Mycobacteriales; Corynebacteriaceae
Description: bacterial SSU rRNA
Rfam family: Bacterial small subunit ribosomal RNA
Source: RNAcentral